AUUGAACGCUGGCGGAAUGCUUUACACAUGCAAGUCGAACGGCAGCACGGACUUCGGUCUGGUGGCGAGUGGCGAACGGGUGAGUAAUGUAUCGGAACGUGCCCAGUCGUGGGGGAUAACGUAGUGAAAAUUACGCUAAUACCGCAUACGAUCUAUGGAUGAAAGCGGGGGAUCGCAAGACCUCGAGCGAUUGGAGCGGCCGAUAUCAGAUUAGGUAGUUGGUGGGGUAAAGGCCCACCAAGCCAACGAUCUGUAGCUGGUCUGAGAGGACGACCAGCCACACUGGAACUGAGACACGGUCCAGACUCCUCCGGGAGGCAGCAGUGGGGAAUUUUGGACAAUGGGCGAAAGCCUGAUCCAGCAAUUCCGCGUGCAGGAUGAAGGCCCUCGGGUUGUAAACUGCUUUUGUACAGAACGAAAAGGUUUCUACUAAUACUAGGAGCUCAUGACGGUACUGUAAGAAUAAGCACCGGCUAACUACGUGCCAGCCGCCGCCGUAA
RNAcentral lists this ribosomal RNA (500 nucleotides) under uncultured bacterium. RNAcentral's name for it is "partial 16S ribosomal RNA". It matches the Rfam family "Bacterial small subunit ribosomal RNA", at positions 30 to 523 of the family's 1533-position model. The record is from RNAcentral.